UCAUCUCCGGGGGUAGAGCACUGUUUCGGCUAGGGGGCCAUCCCGGCUUACCAACCCGAUGCAAACUGCGAAUACCGGAGAAUGUUAUCACGGGAGACACACGGCGGGUGCUAACGUCCGUCGUGAAGAGGGAAACAACCCAGACCGCCAGCUAAGGUCCCAAAGUCAUGGUUAAGUGGGAAACGAUGUGGGAAGGCCCAGACAGCCAGGAUGUUGGCUUAGAAGCAGCCAUCAUUUAAAGAAAGCGUAAUAGCUCACUGGUCGAGUCGGCCUGCGCGGAAGAUGUAACGGGGCUAAACCAUGCACCGAAGCUGCGGCAGCGACGCUGAUGCGUUGUUGGGUAGGGGAGCGUUCUGUAAGCCUGCGAAGGUGGCCUGUGAGGGUUGCUGGAGGUAUCAGAAGUGCGAAUGCUGACAUAAGUAACGAUAAAGCGGGUGAAAAGCCCGCUCGCCGGAAGACCAAGGGUUCCUGUCCAACGUUAAUCGGGGCAGGGUGAGUCGACCCCUAAGGCGAGGCCGAAAGGCGUAGUCGAUGGGAAACGGGUUAAUAUUCCCGUACUUGGUGUUACUGCGAAGGGGGGACGGAGAAGGCUAUGUUGGCCGGGCGACGGUUGUCCCGGUUUAAGCGUGUAGGUGUGUGUUCCAGGUAAAUCCGGUUCACUUUAACACUGAGGCGUGAUGACGAGGCACUACGGUGCUGAAGCAACAAAUGCCCUGCUUCCAGGAAAAGCCUCUAAGCAUCAGGUAACAUCAAAUCGUACCCCAAACCGACACAGGUGGUCAGGUAGAGAAUAC
This 794-nucleotide ribosomal RNA is filed under the name Salmonella enterica subsp. enterica serovar Chester. RNAcentral's name for it is "partial 23S ribosomal RNA". It matches the Rfam family "Bacterial large subunit ribosomal RNA", at positions 890 to 1681 of the family's 2925-position model. The record is from RNAcentral. Lineage: Bacteria; Pseudomonadati; Pseudomonadota; Gammaproteobacteria; Enterobacterales; Enterobacteriaceae.